AUUGGAGGUGAUCAGACGUACAAGUGCGACCACCCAAAAAAAAAAAACACACCCACGUUUUCUUGCUAAUUUUUUUUGUAUUUCGAUAUUCUACGUACACAAGCCCAGAUUAGAAAUCCCACCAACUGUAAUUAAAUUUGGGGUUAUUUCGGUGCCAGAUCAAAGGUUCUGGCAAGCAGAGUAGCCGAUGCACAGCGAUCAUCAGAACAUCUCUUUUGGCCGAAGCCAUCGGAUGACCUACUGUAGUAUAUAGGAACAUAAUAAUUAUAAUAAUAAUAAUAAUAAUAAUAAUAACUAUAAUAUUAAUAAUGAUAAUAAUAUGAACCAUAAUAAUAAGACAAUAAGUAAACUUAAGACCACCCUAUUUCCUUAAGUCCAUCCUAACCCUAAAUAUGCAAGUUCAACAAUGUACGCCUUUAGGGGACGCACUUGACUCUCAUUGGCUUUCGAGUAAGAACUUCAUAUAUACAUAUUUGUAGAUUUUGCUAGUGUCAGCACUUUUGCUGUCACGCGCGAUCGGCCUGCUGGCCACGCUAAGUCAGUCUUAAGAAAAGUAAAGAAUCGAGAAGAAGUGAAAAAUCUAAUAAACGGAGCUAUGCUCCUCUACACAAAACAUAAUUAAAAGAUUGAAUUAUUACUGGCGGACUGGAACUAUUACAUGGCGACCGUGACAGGACCCCCUACGUUGGACACUGAUGGAAGAACAAAUCUGAGACAUAAUUUUUGGAAUAAAUAUUAAUCAAAAUCGUUGGAGCUGAUGGCAAACAGAGUGAGUAAAGUUUGAGUGUGAUAUGGGCAAGCGCGGAGGCGAAAGCAAAAAAAUGAAUAAAAGAAUAGCCCAUAUUAAGUGGCUACUAUUCACCAAAACGCCACCACCCGCAUGGUCAACUGCACAGAAAUUGCAGGAAGAAUUAGACCAUCUGCAAAAUUUAAUAAAGCAGAAAAAAGAAAAGCCCCACACAAAAACUUACUCUGACAUAAAAAUUUUAACCAAUAAAAAAAUUAACACAACUAAACCGCCUCCCAGGAAACCGCUCCCGAUCAAAGAGAAGAAGUGCCCAGCGGACUGCGAAGGAAUCUGGAGCCCCUUUUGUCAAGGAACCUGUGCGAUGACCAGCACCGGUACCGCCUGAGCCCAUAGGCCCAGGACAGCAGCAGCCGAAAACCAAGUUCGGGAGGCAAACCGCCACCUGAACCUUCGAGGGAGCGUUAGCGUGCCCGGCCGGCGACGUCCAGCUAACGCAAGGAAGAUCUGCAGCCAAAACAAGGAGGAGCUGCAACACAAAAUAUUUUUUUUUGUUGCCCUGCGUGGCACACCACCCUCGAUGCACUGCGCUGCAUAUUAAUUUUACACAAAAUAUUGUAACAUUGAGCGGAAUCUUUUCUGCCCGAUGAGAAGAAUGGCCCGUAAAGCCAUCCACCAAUUAGGCAGGUAAAUGUAACAAUAUAACCAAAAACAAAAAAAAAAAAAAGAAAUAAUAAUAAUAUAGUAAUUAAAUAUACACGAAAAUGGGUUGGUUUGGAUCUGACGAUAGUCAGACAAAAGAUAAUACGGCCAAUGUGGUCAAUAAUGUAAAAAUAGUCGACCACACAGAAGACAUUCAGUCACUGUGGGUACUCCUGUUAAUUUUAACUAUCGUAACUGUCGCUCAAUUUAUACUAACGCUUUACGUUAAACAUAACAAAAUAAUAAAGAAGCGCUAUAUAAGUAGAGCGAACAAUUUGAACACGAUUUA
Molecule: long non-coding RNA, 1736 nt
Organism: Drosophila santomea
Lineage: Eukaryota; Metazoa; Arthropoda; Insecta; Diptera; Drosophilidae
Exons: 3
Source: RefSeq, a predicted model, not a curated record